UCAUACUUUUCUGAAUGUUCAUUUAUAAUUUAUGAUAAAAAAAUUUAAUUUAUUCAUAUAUGUAUAUAUAUAACUAGCUACACACAUAGAUUUUCAAUGUAAAGUAAAAUUUAAAAAAAACAAAAAACUUAAGUUAACAGUUGGUGGGAUUUUUUCAAGUCCACUCAAAUAACAAUGAAAAAGCUAGUAAAACUCAACUGUUGAAAAGAAAUUAGAUUCCUUCAAUGACAAGCCCUAUUUGUAUAAGAAGGGCAAAGUGGAUGUACUUGGUUGUUGUGAGAAGAACAAGAUAUACUAGGUUGGUAGAAAAAAAAACAAGGACUAGUUAUCACUACUAGCUGGAAAAAAGAUGACUCUGAUGUUGAAGAAACUUGAUAGUUAGAAAAUAAGUAGCAAUGCAAUCAAAAUUAAUCAAGCGAAAUAUUUUAAUUAAAAUUAAUAGUGUGAUUUUUAUUUACUAAUUAAAUUUAUUAUUGGAUAA
Hydra vulgaris (swiftwater hydra) is the source of this 481-nucleotide non-coding RNA. The record is from RefSeq and is a predicted model, not a curated record. NCBI's taxonomy places the organism in Eukaryota, Metazoa, Cnidaria, Hydrozoa, Anthoathecata, Hydridae.